Brassica napus (rape) is the source of this 1010-nucleotide long non-coding RNA. RefSeq lists it as uncharacterized. The record is from RefSeq and is a predicted model, not a curated record. Lineage: Eukaryota; Viridiplantae; Streptophyta; Magnoliopsida; Brassicales; Brassicaceae. The transcript has 2 exons.
UUUUCAUACGUAUCUUUAGGUUUUAGAUUAGUUUCGUGGACUCUUGUCCUACGUUUUUAUUUGGGUUACAAUCUUUCUGUCAACGUGUAUUGCGUUCAAUCAAGCUGAUGACUUGAGAAUACAUAUCUCAUCUAAAUGAGAUUAAAGUGAUAUUAUUAAUGGCCAUAUACACUUGGGUUGUUUUGGUAAAUUGAUUUUUUGUAACAAAAAUUUUCGUACAUUGUUGGUCUGAAGACUAAACAAUUUAUGAUUUAUCGAUUCUCUAUAUAUAUAUAUACCACGUGAAUAAUCUUCUUUCUUUCUUAUCGCUUCGUUUUCUCUCUGCUCCUGCACUCCCGUCCGAACGCGUGAAUUCCGACGACCGGCGCGUGGUGGCUCUGUCAGCACCGGCGCCGGUCCCAAUCUCUGUCUUGCUUCAUCGUUGUCUGGUUGUAGUUUGAUUUUUGAUAAAAGCUCCGAAUCUGGUGAUUAACGGUUUAUCUAAAUGGGUAGAGGUUUCUAUGGAUUCCUAUGAUCCGUCUUUAUGCCGUUUGUGGCCUGUGCUCAUUGUGCUCCGGAUUUGGUGGGCUUGGCUCCUAGUUUCUUGUUCAGAUCUCGUGGAGAUUUGAUUUGGUUGUGGCUUCAUUCCUUGGCGUUUAUCAGUCGUGUGUACGACUCAGCCGUGUCCGGAGGUUGACAGAAUCUGAGAGAUUCUUCCUUGCCGGUUUGUGAAGCUUGUGUUACUUGGGUUCUGAGGUGUUUCCUCGUUGUACUAGGAGGGAGUGGUUUUUCGGUGGUUUGGCCAGGGGCAUUCACGUUAAACAGCUUUCAUAGAUUUUCUAUCAUUUAGAUUUCUUUGUUUUGUCAUGAGUUCUACCUGCUGUCUACGAGUCUUGUUACUUUGUUUGAAGUGUUAGUCUAAAGUUGCCCUGGUUUGUUGUUGUUUGGGCUUAUGCAUCCCUUUAUGGGUUUUAGUUCCGGAGAUAUUGUGUUGUCUGCCGGCUUAGCUAACCACGGACAUUCCUUCGUUC